Molecule: non-coding RNA, 1458 nt
Organism: Antechinus flavipes (yellow-footed antechinus)
Lineage: Eukaryota; Metazoa; Chordata; Mammalia; Dasyuromorphia; Dasyuridae
Source: the annotation of a RefSeq genome assembly
UCCCUGAAGUUGCUCAGACUCAUCACUCUCCAGAUACCUUGAGCACCUGUACAAACAUAAAGCCAGAAAGCAACUGAGCUCACUGCAAAAGAGCCUCUGCCAAGCCAGACCCUGCACUAAAGGCAAUCAAGGACAGCUACUAGUAAAAAAUAUUGUCCAUCCCAGGCUCCCAGGUCUCCAACAUCCUUACACUCACUCUCUUCUGUGAAGGUGAGCCUAGAAGGAAUCCCCAACUCCCUCUCUGCUCCACCAUGACUCGUGUGCCCAUCCCCGCUCUCAUGAUGUUCUUCCUUCUGAGAGAAAUAGGAGCUCAAUCAGUGACUCAGCCUGAAGACCAGAUUACUGUCUCUGAAGGGGAUCCACUGCAGGUGAACUGCACCUAUUCAUAUGGGGCAACUCCAUCUCUCUUCUGGUACAUCCAGCAUCCCAAUCAAGGGCCCCAGCUACUCUUGAAAUACAUAUCAGGGAGCAACCUGGUUAAAGGCAUCAAAGGUUUUGAAGCAGAAUUUGACAAGAGCAAAACCUCCUUCCACCUGAAGAAACGCUCAGCCCAAAGGAGUGACUCAGCUGGGUACUUCUGUGCUAUAAGUGCACAGUGAAGGAACCUCCAGAGGGAGCUGAACACAAACCUCUUGAGAUGAUGAGAUUUUCAGUGAAUCAAAUUUAUAUACUGCCAUAUCUCAUACACGGUCCCCCAUUCUGUGCAGACAGCAGUACAGGGGAGGAUGGAGCCUUCAGAAAUUGCUGAAUUUGUAUUCACAUUCAGAGCUGCUUUCUAGACAUAGGUACUUCAAAACAAAACAAAACAAAAAUCUUCCCUUUCCUGUUAUCAUUUAUGUCAGGCAAUAAACAGCCAUCACCUUAAAUCUAAAAUAGAGACAAAAAUUUUCUGGCUAUUCCCUUAAAGAAUAAUACCUUCUAUUACCCAGAGGAUUUUUAUUUCCCAGGGUCUUGCUGGAACUGGAAAUGAGGGAGGAAAUAGAAUCAGGACUAACCUGUAAACAUUUGCUGAGUAAGAGGGACAUGACCUUAAGUAAAACAGUCAUAGUUGAUACUGGUGCCUGGAGGUAGCCAUGGAAGAUAUGAUGGAAUUGAGAAGGACAAAGGGGAGACAAAUUUUCUUUAUUUCUGUUUUUUCUCUAACAAAGUCCAACAAAGACAAGAUAACAAGCUUCUAUUCUCUAUGAUCAUAUAAGGUAACUAUAUUCCUGCAAUUGUCUCAAGAUUUAAGUGGUGAAAGAGAUUUUCAGUGACCAACUAAAUCCAACCCCUACAUGGAAGGAAUUGCCAUUACAGUAUACUUGACAAGUAAGAAAUCUAGUAGUUUCUGCUAGAAGAUAAUCAAUUUUCAUCUACUCUAAAAUUCCCAUAAAUCCUAAGAUGUCAUCUGGACACAUAUCCUAGAAAAAUCUCCUUCCCUAAGUCUUUCCUUCCCCUCUCCUAAUUAAGUAUCAAAUA